RNAcentral lists this ribosomal RNA (882 nucleotides) under Pseudomonas sp. enrichment culture clone C-5-2. Its description in RNAcentral is "bacterial SSU rRNA". It matches the Rfam family "Bacterial small subunit ribosomal RNA", at positions 56 to 933 of the family's 1533-position model. The record is from RNAcentral. Lineage: Bacteria; Pseudomonadati; Pseudomonadota; Gammaproteobacteria; Pseudomonadales; Pseudomonadaceae.
UGCAGUCGAGCGGAUGAGAAGAGCUUGCUCUUCGAUUCAGCGGCGGACGGGUGAGUAAUGCCUAGGAAUCUGCCUGGUAGUGGGGGACAACGUUUCGAAAGGAACGCUAAUACCGCAUACGUCCUACGGGAGAAAGCAGGGGACCUUCGGGCCUUGCGCUAUCAGAUGAGCCUAGGUCGGAUUAGCUAGUUGGUGAGGUAAUGGCUCACCAAGGCGACGAUCCGUAACUGGUCUGAGAGGAUGAUCAGUCACACUGGAACUGAGACACGGUCCAGACUCCUACGGGAGGCAGCAGUGGGGAAUAUUGGACAAUGGGCGAAAGCCUGAUCCAGCCAUGCCGCGUGUGUGAAGAAGGUCUUCGGAUUGUAAAGCACUUUAAGUUGGGAGGAAGGGCAUUAACCUAAUACGUUAGUGUUUUGACGUUACCGACAGAAUAAGCACCGGCUAACUCUGUGCCAGCAGCCGCGGUAAUACAGAGGGUGCAAGCGUUAAUCGGAAUUACUGGGCGUAAAGCGCGCGUAGGUGGUUUGUUAAGUUGGAUGUGAAAGCCCCGGGCUCAACCUGGGAACUGCAUCCAAAACUGGCAAGCUAGAGUACGGUAGAGGGUGGUGGAAUUUCCUGUGUAGCGGUGAAAUGCGUAGAUAUAGGAAGGAACACCAGUGGCGAAGGCGACCACCUGGACUGAUACUGACACUGAGGUGCGAAAGCGUGGGGAGCAAACAGGAUUAGAUACCCUGGUAGUCCACGCCGUAAACGAUGUCAACUAGCCGUUGGAAUCCUUGAGAUUUUAGUGGCGCAGCUAACGCAUUAAGUUGACCGCCUGGGGAGUACGGCCGCAAGGUUAAAACUCAAAUGAAUUGACGGGGGCCCCGCACAAGCGGU